UACGGGGGGGGUAAGCGUUGUUCGGAAUUACUGGGCGUAAAGGGCUCGUAGGCGGCCAACUAAGUCAGACGUGAAAUCCCUCGGCUUAACCGGGGAACUGCGUCUGAUACUGGAUGGCUUGAAUCCGGGAGAGGGAUGCGGAAUUCCAGGUGUAGCGGUGAAAUGCGUAGAUAUCUGGAGGAACACCGGUGGCGAAGGCGGCAUCCUGGACCGGCAUUGACGCUGAGGCGCGAAAGCUAGGGGAGCAAACGGG
RNAcentral lists this ribosomal RNA (253 nucleotides) under uncultured bacterium. RNAcentral's name for it is "partial 16S ribosomal RNA". It matches the Rfam family "Bacterial small subunit ribosomal RNA", at positions 524 to 776 of the family's 1533-position model. The record is from RNAcentral.